CCUACGGGUGGCAGCAGUCGAGAAUCAUUCACAAUGGGGGAAACCCUGAUGGUGCGACGCCGCGUGGGGGAAUGAAGGUCUUCGGAUUGUAAACCCCUGUCAUGUGGGAGCAAAUUAAAAAGAUAGUACCACAAGAGGAAGAGACGGCUAACUCUGUGCCAGCAGCCGCGGUAAUACAGAGGUCUCAAGCGUUGUUCGGAACCACUGGGCGUAAAGCGUGCGUAGGCUGUUUCCUAAGUCGUGUGUGAAAGGCGCGGGCUCAACCCGCGGACGGCACAUGAUACUGCGAGACUAGAGUAAGGGAGGGGGAACCGGAAUUCUCGGUGUAGCAGUGAAAUGCGUAGAUAUCGAGAGGAACACUCGUGGCGAAGGCGGGUUCCUGGACAUUAACUGACGCUGAGGCACGAAGGCCAGGGGAGCGAAAGGGAUUAGAUACCCUGGUAGUC
This 446-nucleotide ribosomal RNA is filed under the name uncultured bacterium. Its description in RNAcentral is "partial 16S ribosomal RNA". It matches the Rfam family "Bacterial small subunit ribosomal RNA", at positions 338 to 795 of the family's 1533-position model. The record is from RNAcentral.